This 198-nucleotide ribosomal RNA is filed under the name uncultured bacterium. RNAcentral's name for it is "partial 16S ribosomal RNA". It matches the Rfam family "Bacterial small subunit ribosomal RNA", at positions 335 to 524 of the family's 1533-position model. The record is from RNAcentral.
ACUCCUACGGGAGGCAGCAGUGGGGAAUAUUGCGCAAUGGCCGAAAGGUUGACGCAGCGACGCCGCGUGUGGGAUGAAGCCCUUCGGGGUGUAAACCACUGUCAGGGGGGAAGAACAGCGAUUACGUGAACAUCGUAGUCGUAUGACGGUACCCCCAGAGGAAGCACCGGCUAACUCCGUGCCAGCAGCCGCGGUAAU